This 492-nucleotide ribosomal RNA is filed under the name uncultured bacterium. RNAcentral describes it as "partial 16S ribosomal RNA". It matches the Rfam family "Bacterial small subunit ribosomal RNA", at positions 29 to 507 of the family's 1533-position model. The record is from RNAcentral.
AGUGAACGCUGGCGGUAGGCCUAACACAUGCAAGUCGAACUGCAGCACAGUAAGAGCUUACUCUUACUGGUGGCGAGUUGCGGACGGGUGCUGACUACAUCGGAAUCUACUUUUACGUGGAGGCUAACGUCUGGUAACUUACGCUAAUACCGCAUACUACUUACGGGUGAUAUCAGGGGAUCUUCGGACCUUGCGCGAUUGUAUGAGCCGUUGUCGGAUUAGGUAGUCGGAGGGGUAAAGGCCCACCAAGGCGACGAAACGUAGCUGGUCUGAGAGGAUGAGCAGCCAGACUGGGACGGAGACACGGCACAGAGUCACACGGGAGGCAGCAGUGGGGAAUAGUGGACAAUGAGCGCAAGACAGAUCAAGACAGACCGAGAGGGUGAAGAAGGAAUUCGGGUUGUAAAGCGCUUUUGUUGGGAAAGAAAAGCAGUAGGAGAAUACAAGGAAGAUAUGACGGUACCAAAAGAAGAAGCAACGGCUAAAUUCGUG